Molecule: unclassified non-coding RNA, 1305 nt
Filed under: Hevea brasiliensis (rubber tree)
Lineage: Eukaryota; Viridiplantae; Streptophyta; Magnoliopsida; Malpighiales; Euphorbiaceae
Source: RNAcentral
GCCGCUUCAAGUACCAACACCAGUUCUUCGACUUCCUCUCUCUCUUUGUUCUUGCUUACUCACAGUAAUCACUCUAUCCUGUACUGCUUCUCCUACUGAAAUGAACACAUAGAAUAGAAUUCAGAUAAGGCAAGUAUUUUGUAAAACAAGUAUGUGGAAGGUUUGUUCCGAAGGAGAUGGGUAUCCUAGCAACUGGGCUCGUAGUUGCGACACAUGUCAUUCAGCACCCUGCACACUCUACUGCCAUGCUGACUCAACCUACCUCUGUCACAGUUGUGAUGCGUAUAUCCACGCCGCAGAUCCCAUGGCUUCGCAGCAUAAGCGUGUCUGGGUUUGCACUGCAUGUGAAAAUGCUCCGGCUGCUUUUACCUGUCAGGCUGAUGAAGCAAACCUAUGCAUCAACUGUGACAUUGAAAUACACUCGGCCAAUCCAUUGUCGCGCCGCCAUAACAGGGUCCCAGUACUUCCUAUCUCAACUACUUACGUGGAGGAGUUUCAAGGCUCCCUGUUAAAAACAGAAAAUGAAGCCCAGGCGAACAAGAGUACAGUGGAAUUAGAAGAAGAUGAAACAGAUUCUUGGUUGCUGCUUGAUCUUGAUGAUAAUGACAGCCAGACUAAUAGUGGAUUUACUAAUGGUAAGGAUGUUGAUGAGUAUUUGGAUGUCAUUGAAUACAAUUUGUGUACCGAGUAUCAGUGCCAAGACCACAGUGAUCAGCAGCAACUUUCUGGUGUUCAUCAAGGAGAUAGCGGCAGCGAUAGCGUUGUACCAGUACAAUCUUUUGAGCCAAAGGACCAACAAGACCAUCAGCAGCAGCAACAGCAGAAUAUUUUAGUUGACAGCUGGUAUGAAUCCUCUAAAGCUGCUGUCAUCAACACCACUGCAAGCAAUCAGAAAGUCCCUGCGCCUUAUAUGAAUGCUGGCUAUUCACUGACAACAAGCAACAUUCCAAAUUCAUAUUCUAGAUUUCCAAAUGGCACAACUGACCUCCUUCCAAACACUUCACUAUUGAUGCCACUCCAAUUUACUCCACCAAACAGAGAAGCAAGAGUCCAAAGAUAUAGAGAAAGAAGGAAAGCAAGAAAAUUUGAGAAGAAAAUAAGAUAUGCAACUAGGAAGGCUAAUGCAGAGAAUAGACCCCGAGUCAAGGGCCGAUUUGCAAGGAAAACAGACAUGGAGUUUGAAGUGACUGAAGAUUAUGGAUAUGGAAUUGUUCCAUCAUACCAAGUAAAAUAAGGGAAGGAAAAUUGCUUCUGAGUGAUGGAAAAUGAGUUAAUGAUUUUAGUGCAACUCUAGCUAAUGUUGCU